GCGGCGGACGGGUGAGUAAUGCCUAGGAAUCUGCCUGGUAGUGGGGGAUAACGUUCCGAAAGGAACGCUAAUACCGCAUACGUCCUACGGGAGAAAGCAGGGGACCUUCGGGCCUUGCGCUAUCAGAUGAGCCUAGGUCGGAUUAGCUAGUUGGUGAGGUAAUGGCUCACCAAGGCGACGAUCCGUAACUGGUCUGAGAGGAUGAUCAGUCACACUGGAACUGAGACACGGUCCAGACUCCUACGGGAGGCAGCAGUGGGGAAUAUUGGACAAUGGGCGAAAGCCUGAUCCAGCCAUGCCGCGUGUGUGAAGAAGGUCUUCGGAUUGUAAAGCACUUUAAGUUGGGAGGAAGGGCAUUAACCUAAUACGUUAGUGUUUUGACGUUACCGACAGAAUAAGCACCGGCUAACUUCGUGCCAGCAGCCGCGGUAAUACGAAGGGUGCAAGCGUUAAUCGGAAUUACUGGGCGUAAAGCGCGCGUAGGUGGUUCGUUAAGUUGGA
This 501-nucleotide ribosomal RNA is filed under the name Pseudomonas sp. WH272. RNAcentral describes it as "bacterial SSU rRNA". It matches the Rfam family "Bacterial small subunit ribosomal RNA", at positions 95 to 592 of the family's 1533-position model. Lineage: Bacteria; Pseudomonadati; Pseudomonadota; Gammaproteobacteria; Pseudomonadales; Pseudomonadaceae. The record is from RNAcentral.